UACGUAGGGUGCGAGCGUUAAUCGGAAUUACUGGGCGUAAAGCGUGCGCAGGCGGUUGUGCAAGACAGAUGUGAAAUCCCCGGGCUUAACCUGGGAACUGCAUUUGUGACUGCACAGCUAGAGUACGGCAGAGGGGGAUGGAAUUCCGCGUGUAGCAGUGAAAUGCGUAGAUAUGCGGAGGAACACCGAUGGCGAAGGCAGUCCCCUGGGCCUGUACUGACGCUCAUGCACGAAA
RNAcentral lists this ribosomal RNA (235 nucleotides) under uncultured prokaryote. RNAcentral describes it as "partial 16S ribosomal RNA". It matches the Rfam family "Bacterial small subunit ribosomal RNA", at positions 524 to 758 of the family's 1533-position model. The record is from RNAcentral.